CCUACGGGAGGCAGCAGUGAGGAAUAUUGGUCAAUGGGCGCAAGCCUGAACCAGCCAAGUCGCGUGAGGGAUGACGGUCCUAUGGAUUGUAAACCUCUUUUGUCGGGGAGCAAGGCCCGCCACGUGUGGCGGGAAGGAGAGUACCCGAAGAAAAAGCAUCGGCUAACUCCGUGCCAGCAGCCGCGGUAAUACGGAGGAUGCGAGCGUUAUCCGGAUUUAUUGGGUUUAAAGGGUGCGUAGGCGGAAUAUCAAGUCAGCGGUAAAAAUUCGGGGCUCAACCCCGUCGUGCCGUUGAAACUGAUGUUCUUGAGUGGGCGAGAAGUAUGCGGAAUGCGUGGUGUAGCGGUGAAAUGCAUAGAUAUCACGCAGAACUCCGAUUGCGAAGGCAGCAUACCGGCGCCCAACUGACGCUGAAGCACGAAAGCGUGGGUAUCGAACAGGAUUAGAUACCCCAGUAGUC
This 460-nucleotide ribosomal RNA is filed under the name uncultured bacterium. Its description in RNAcentral is "partial 16S ribosomal RNA". It matches the Rfam family "Bacterial small subunit ribosomal RNA", at positions 338 to 795 of the family's 1533-position model. The record is from RNAcentral.